This 504-nucleotide ribosomal RNA is filed under the name uncultured bacterium. Its description in RNAcentral is "bacterial SSU rRNA". It matches the Rfam family "Bacterial small subunit ribosomal RNA", at positions 29 to 508 of the family's 1533-position model. The record is from RNAcentral.
AACGAACGCUGGCGGCGUGCCUAACACAUGCAAGUCGAACGAGAAAGGGGCUUCGGUCCUGAGUAAAGUGGCGCACGGGUGAGUAACACGUAGGUAACCUGCCUCUAAGAUUGGGAUAACCUGUCGAAAGACGAGCUAAUACCGAAUGAGACCACAGUUUCCUCGGAAGCAGGGGUCAAAGGUAGCCUCUAUUUAUAAGCUAUCACUUAGAGAUGGGCCUGCGUACCAUUAGCUAGUUGGUAGGGUAACGGCCUACCAAGGCAAAGAUGGUUAGCUGGUCUGAGAGGAUGAUCAGCCACACUGGAACUGAGACACGGUCCAGACUCCUACGGGAGGCAGCAGUGGGGAAUAUUGCGCAAUGGGCGAAAGCCUGUCGCAGCAACGCCGCGUGAGUGAUGAAGGCCUUCGGGUCGUAAAGCUCUGUCGGAGGGAACGAAUGCUUUUGGGGUUAAUAGCCCCGGAAAGUGACGGUACCCUCAAAGGAAGCACCGGCUAACUCGGUGC